Molecule: ribosomal RNA, 1522 nt
Filed under: Escherichia coli
Lineage: Bacteria; Pseudomonadati; Pseudomonadota; Gammaproteobacteria; Enterobacterales; Enterobacteriaceae
Description: bacterial SSU rRNA
Rfam family: Bacterial small subunit ribosomal RNA
Source: RNAcentral
AGAGUUUGAUCAUUGCUCAGAUUGAACGCUGGCGGCAGGCCUAACACAUGCAAGUCGAACGGUAACAGGAAGAAGCUUGCUUCUUUGCUGACGAGUGGCGGACGGGUGAGUAAUGUCUGGGAAACUGCCUGAUGGAGGGGGAUAACUACUGGAAACGGUAGCUAAUACCGCAUAACGUCGCAAGACCAAAGAGGGGGACCUUCGGGCCUCUUGCCAUCGGAUGUGCCCAGAUGGGAUUAGCUUGUUGGUGGGGUAACGGCUCACCAAGGCGACGAUCCCUAGCUGGUCUGAGAGGAUGACCAGCCACACUGGAACUGAGACACGGUCCAGACUCCUACGGGAGGCAGCAGUGGGGAAUAUUGCACAAUGGGCGCAAGCCUGAUGCAGCCAUGCCGCGUGUAUGAAGAAGGCCUUCGGGUUGUAAAGUACUUUCAGCGGGGAGGAAGGGGGUAAAGUUAAUACCUUUGCUCAUUGACGUUACCCGCAGAAGAAGCACCGGCUAACUCCGUGCCAGCAGCCGCGGUAAUACGGAGGGUGCAAGCGUUAAUCGGAAUUACUGGGCGUAAAGCGCACGCAGGCGGUUUGUUAAGUCAGAUGUGAAAUCCCCGGGCUCAACCUGGGAACUGCAUCUGAUACUGGCAAGCUUGAGUCUCGUAGAGGGGGGUAGAAUUCCAGGUGUAGCGGUGAAAUGCGUAGAGAUCUGGAGGAAUACCGGUGGCGAAGGCGGCCCCCUGGACGAAGACUGACGCUCAGGUGCGAAAGCGUGGGGAGCAAACAGGAUUAGAUACCCUGGUAGUCCACGCCGUAAACGAUGUCGACUUGGAGGUUGUGCCCUUGAGGCGUGGCUUCCGGAGCUAACGCGUUAAGUCGACCGCCUGGGGAGUACGGCCGCAAGGUUAAAACUCAAAUGAAUUGACGGGGGCCCGCACAAGCGGUGGAGCAUGUGGUUUAAUUCGAUGCAACGCGAAGAACCUUACCUGGUCUUGACAUCCACGGAAGUUUUCAGAGAUGAGAAUGUGCCUUCGGGAACCGUGAGACAGGUGCUGCAUGGCUGUCGUCAGCUCGUGUUGUGAAAUGUUGGGUUAAGUCCCGCAACGAGCGCAACCCUUAUCCUUUGUUGCCAGCGGUCCGGCCGGGAACUCAAAGGAGACUGCCAGUGAUAAACUGGAGGAAGGUGGGGAUGACGUCAAGUCAUCAUGGCCCUUACGACCAGGGCUACACACGUGCUACAAUGGCGCAUACAAAGAGAAGCGACCUCGCGAGAGCAAGCGGACCUCAUAAAGUGCGUCGUAGUCCGGAUUGGAGUCUGCAACUCGACUCCAUGAAGUCGGAAUCGCUAGUAAUCGUGGAUCAGAAUGCCACGGUGAAUACGUUCCCGGGCCUUGUACACACCGCCCGUCACACCAUGGGAGUGGGUUGCAAAAGAAGUAGGUAGCUUAACCUUCGGGAGGGCGCUUACCACUUUGUGAUUCAUGACUGGGGUGAAGUCGUAACAAGGUAACCGUAGGGGAACCUGCGGUUG